This 326-nucleotide RNase P RNA is filed under the name Armatimonadota bacterium. RNAcentral describes it as "Armatimonadetes bacterium (bioreactor metagenome) RNase P RNA component class A". It matches the Rfam family "Bacterial RNase P class A". From Rfam's summary of the family: Ribonuclease P (RNase P) is a ubiquitous endoribonuclease, found in archaea, bacteria and eukarya as well as chloroplasts and mitochondria. Its best characterised activity is the generation of mature 5'-ends of tRNAs by cleaving the 5'-leader elements of precursor-tRNAs. Lineage: Bacteria; Bacillati; Armatimonadota. RNAcentral also lists the same sequence under 1 other name. The record is from RNAcentral.
CGAGCUGGCCGGGUGGCGGCCGGCCUGGCGCAAGCCGGGCUGGAGGAAAGUCCGGACUUCGCAGGGCAAGGCACCUGGCGCAAGCCAGGGCGGGGCGACCCGACGGAAAGUGCCACAGAAAACAAACCGCCCCGCACGCGGGGUAAGGGUGAAACGGUGGGGUAAGAGCCCACCAGCGGGCCGGGUAACCGGUUCGGCUCGGCAAACCCUGCCCGAAGCAAGGCCAAAUAGGGGGAGGAUGACGCGGCCCGCCGACUCCCCGGGUUGGCCGCAUCAGCCAAAUCGCCACACAAAGACAGAAUCCGGCUUAUAGGCCAGCUCUCAAU